RNAcentral lists this ribosomal RNA (460 nucleotides) under uncultured bacterium. RNAcentral describes it as "partial 16S ribosomal RNA". It matches the Rfam family "Bacterial small subunit ribosomal RNA", at positions 338 to 795 of the family's 1533-position model. The record is from RNAcentral.
CCUACGGGAGGCAGCAGUGAGGAAUAUUGGUCAAUGGACGAGAGUCUGAACCAGCCAAGUAGCGUGAAGGAUGACUGCCCUAUGGGUUGUAAACUUCUUUUAUAUGGGAAUAAAAUGUUCCACGUGUGGGAUUUUGUAUGUACCAUAUGAAUAAGGAUCGGCUAACUCCGUGCCAGCAGCCGCGGUAAUACGGAGGAUCCGAGCGUUAUCCGGAUUUAUUGGGUUUAAAGGGAGCGUAGGUGGAUUGUUAAGUCAGUUGUGAAAGUUUGCGGCUCAACCGUAAAAUUGCAGUUGAAACUGGCAGUCUUGAGCACAGUAGAGGUGGGCGGAAUUCGUGGUGUAGCGGUGAAAUGCUUAGAUAUCACGAAGAACUCCGAUUGCGAAGGCAGUUCACUGGACUGCAACUGACACUGAGGCUCGAAAGUGUGGGUAUCAAACAGGAUUAGAUACCCCUGUAGUC